RNAcentral lists this ribosomal RNA (705 nucleotides) under Triticum aestivum (bread wheat). Its description in RNAcentral is "partial small subunit ribosomal RNA". Lineage: Eukaryota; Viridiplantae; Streptophyta; Magnoliopsida; Poales; Poaceae. The record is from RNAcentral.
AUGGGGGCCGGUCACAGCGCCGGGCGUCGAAAUUCCGACGCCGAUGCCGACGCCGGAGCAGGCAGCGAGGACCGCCUCAGCGCGCUUCCAGACGACGUGCUGGUCAGCAUCCUCCUCAAGCUCCGCGACGCCGCGGCCGCCGCCCGGACCAGCAUCCUCGCCCGCUGGUGGCGCUGCCUCUGGCCCCUCCUCCCGGAGCUCGCCUUCGCCGACGGCAUCAAGCACCACCGCAUAGUCCCCGCCCUCGCCGCCCACGAAGCGCUGGACCUCCGCGACAUCCAGAUUGCCACCCGAGAGGCCUCUGUGGAGUACCUGGCGGUCUGGCUCCCCAUCGCCGCGCGCCGCCUCUCCGGCUCCAUGUACCUCAAGGUGGUGUGGCACGAGGGCGAGGCCGCCGAGGUCCGGGCGGCGCUGGAGCCCGAACAGAGAGGGGCCAUUCUGCUUCCUUGCUUCCAGCGAGCCACCUCCGUCGUACUCGAGUUCUCCUUCCUCCGCCUUGUCCUGCCGCCUUCCGGGGUGUUCGCCCGGCUCCAAAUCCUCAUGCUGGUCGGCAUCCUCGUGUACGGCCAGUGCAGCCUCGGCGACGCCGUCUCCUCCCCGCGGUGCCCAUGCUUAAAGGUUCUCUUCGUCCAGAGCGCCCGUGGUCUCGGCAGCUUCAGGAUCCACUCCGUCCCUCCUGCAGCUGCAGCUGUCGGAUUUGCGUGA